AGAGAUCCUGAGACCUCAUCCUCUGAGACGAUCACCAUGUUUGCUGUGAAAGCAGCUUGCCUCAUCGCCACCGUCGCUAUGCUUGUUGCAAUGGUGGCAGCGGGUGCUCCAGAUAAGAGACUCUGCCCAUCAAUAUUUCCCAUGUGUUCUAACAUGUAAAGAUGAAGAGACGUCAAGCAUCCACUGAAGCGUCUAAUUAUUAAAAACCUUUUGUAGUCAAAUUUUAAUAAAGUAGUCAUGCAUCACUA
Polypterus senegalus (gray bichir) is the source of this 248-nucleotide long non-coding RNA. RefSeq lists it as uncharacterized. The record is from RefSeq and is a predicted model, not a curated record. The transcript has 4 exons. NCBI's taxonomy places the organism in Eukaryota, Metazoa, Chordata, Cladistia, Polypteriformes, Polypteridae.